GGUGGUGUGGUUAGUUACCUAUGAAUAAGGUAGUGGUGGUGUGGUUAGUUACCUACGAACAAGGUAGUGGUGGUGUGGUUAGUUACCUAUGAAUAAGGUAGUGGUGGUGUGGUUAGUUACCUAUGAACAAGGUAGUGGUGGUGUGGUUAGUUACCUAUGAACAAGGUAGUGGUGGUGGGGUUAGUAACCUAUGAACAAGGUAGUGGUGGUGUGGUUAGUUACCUAUGAACAAGGUAGUGGUGGUGUGGUUAGUAACCUAUGAACAAGGUAGUGGUGGUGUGGUUAGUUACCUAUGAACAAGGUGGUGUGGUUAGUUACCUAUGAACAAGGUGGUGGUGGUGUGGUUAGUUACCUAUGAAUAAGGUAGUGGUGGUGUGGUUAGUUACCUCUGAAUAAGGUAGUGGUGGUGUGGUUAGUAACCUAUGAACAAGGUAGUGGCAGUGUGGUUAGUUACCUAUGAACAAGGUGGUGGUGGUGUGGUUAGUUACCUAUGAACAAGGUGGUGUGGUUAGUUACCUAUGAACAAGGUAGUGGCGGUGUGGUUAGUUACCUAUGAACAAGGUGGUGGUGGUGUGGUUAGUUACCUAUGAAUAAGGCAGUGGUGGUGUGGUUAGUUACCUAUGAACAAGGUAGUGGUGGUGUGGUUAGUUACCUAUGAACAAGGUAGUGGUGGUGGGGUUAGUUACCUAUGAACAAGGUGGUGUGGUUAGUUACCUAUGAACAAGGUAGUGGUGGUGUGGUUAGUUACCUAUGAACAAGGUAGUGGUGGUGGGGUUAGUAACCUAUGAACAAGGUAGUGGUGGUGUGGUUAGUUACCUAUGAACAAGAUAGUGGUGGUGUGGUUAGUUACCUAUGAAGAAGGUGGUGUGGUUAGUUACCUAUGAAUAAGGUAGUGGUGGUGUGGUUAGUUACCUAUGAAGAAGGUAGUGGUGGUGUGAUUAGUUACCUAUUAGAAGGUGGUAGUGUGGUUAGUUACCUCUGAAUAAGGUAGUGGUGGUGUGGUUAGUAACCUAUGAACAAUAUAGUGGUGGUGUGGUUAGUUACCUAUGAAGAAGGUAGUGGUGGUGUGAUUAGUUACCUAUUAGAAGGUGGUGGUGUGGUUAGUUACCUAUGAAUAAGGUGGUGGUGGUGUGGAUAGUUACCUACGAACAAGGCGGUGGCGGUGUGGUUAGUUAGCUAUGAACAAGGUAGUGGUGGUGUGGUUAGUUACCUAUGAAGAAGGUAGUGGUGGUGUGAUUAGUUACCUAUUAACAAGGUGGUGGUGUGGUUUGUUACCUAUGAACAAGGUAGUGGUGGUCUGGUUAGUUACCUAUGAAUAAGGCAGUGGUGGUGUGGAUAGUUACCUACGAACAAGGCAGUGGUGGUGUGGUUAGUUACCUACGAACAAG
This 1388-nucleotide long non-coding RNA is filed under the name Salmo salar (Atlantic salmon). Its description in RNAcentral is "lncRNA (ENSSSAG00000107010.1)". The record is from RNAcentral. Lineage: Eukaryota; Metazoa; Chordata; Actinopteri; Salmoniformes; Salmonidae.